This 749-nucleotide long non-coding RNA is filed under the name Ananas comosus (pineapple). RNAcentral describes it as "long non-coding RNA (ACOM_LNC039849)". The record is from RNAcentral. Lineage: Eukaryota; Viridiplantae; Streptophyta; Magnoliopsida; Poales; Bromeliaceae.
UUUAUAUUCAAUUCAGUUGAAUGACUUAUGAACAAGUGUAGGAUGCACUUAUAAAGUAGAGAACAAUGACAUUCUCUUGACUCUAAAGUAGAGAACUAUAACAUGCUUAUGACCAUGUUGAUAGUGCCAUAAUAGUGGAAAGAUUAUAAUGCCAUGUGAUUUAGCAUUACUCUUACAUGUUUAUAAUCUAGUGGAUACUAGCUCUUGUUACUUUUUAUGUAUUGAAAUUCCGAUCAGAGGAUCGAGGGUAAGAACAUUGCAAAUGAAAACACAUGUGGACAGUAGAAUAUGCUUGCUUGCCAUCGUGCUCAUUCGCACACGCUUGUGAGGGUCGCUCCCUGCAAGCCGGCACUCCGGAGUUGGCCUACUCGACAGUUGCUCGCCCGUGCGGGAUUGGGUGCCGAAGUGGAUUGCCGUGGGGAGUGCAUACUACCACGGGGCCAUUAGGCGCGGCACAAGCUGGACUACCUUGAGUAGAUCCCUGUGAAUGAAAGGAAAGUGGUAAAAGAAGUUGGACAGUAAUGAAUGAUAAUCGCCGAGGCUGGCGGCUUACCCACUGGGAACUAUAGUUUAUAGUUCUUACAGAGCCAGCUACAGGAGAGGCUAGGGAUCGUGGCAAGGGAGUCGCGUCUAGCCAGACAUUGCUAGGAGCAUUCUAGUCGAUCACCUUGCUACUCGGACUACGGCCGAGGGUGAUGUCCCUAUGUAUAGAGAGACCACCAUUGUACCUAUUCUUUUGUAUACCCCGU